Myripristis murdjan (pinecone soldierfish) is the source of this 397-nucleotide non-coding RNA. The record is from the annotation of a RefSeq genome assembly. Lineage: Eukaryota; Metazoa; Chordata; Actinopteri; Holocentriformes; Holocentridae.
AUGACUUUGAGCUCCAUCCUCAUCUGGACUCUCCUCUGCUGCUGCUUGACAGAGUCCAGAGGCCAGGUCACAGUGACUCAGCCUGGAGCAGUGAGGGCUGCUCUGGGAGCCUCCAUCACCAUCACAUGUAAAACCAGCCAGAAUGUUCAUGUUUAUAACAGCGACCACUAUUUAGCCUGGUACCAACAGAGAGAUGGAGAAACUCCUAAACUCCUCAUUUACUAUGCUAAUACUCGAGUAUCAGGGAUUCCAGAUCGUUUUACAGGCAGUGGAUCAAGGAGUGACUUCACUCUGACCAUCAGUGGAGUCCAUGCUGAAGAUGCAGCAGUUUACUACUGUCAGAGUCUCCACAAUAUCAACAGUCAGUGGCUGUUCACACAGUGAAAAAGCGUCGUAC